GUUCUAGGCAGGAGCAUCCUGUGACCUCAUUCACUGUGUCUCUUUAGUGUCCUCUGCUCUGUGAGUUUCUCAGUCUUGUUUUUAUGACCCUGACAGUUUUGAAGAGUACUGGUAAGAUAUUUUACAGAAUAUCCCUCAGUUUGGGUUUGUUUGGUGUUUUCUUAUGUUUAUUCUGGGGUUAUGGGUUUUUAGGAAGAAUAGUACAGAGGUGAAGCAGGCUUCCCACUACAUCCAGUCAAGGCUAUGUGAUAGGACCAUGACUGGUCACAGGUGAUAUUAACAUUGGUCAUUUGGUUAAGGUGGUGUCUGUUAGGUCUCUCCAUGGUGAAGUUAUUUUUUCCCCUUUAUAUACUCUUUGUUAGGAGCUAGUCAUUAACCAGCUCACAUGGGAGCAGGAGAGAUUAACCUCUAUCUCCUGGAGGAAGGCUUCCUUUCUUCUUGAGUUUUCGUCACUUACAUGUCUUGUUGUUGGGAAUAAGGGCUUUAAGAAUCAUACGAUUAUUUUCCUUUGAAGUGAUGUUAAAGUUAUGCUAUGUUAAAGUUCAGAAAUUUAAUCUGUACUGCAGUUUGUUUAGAACAUUCUCCAUCUUUUAACAUGAGCUUGUAUGAUACAGAGAGAGAGGGAGGGAGGAAGAGAGAGAUGGAUUUUCAUUUGGAGGGUUCUAAAAUUCUUGUUAUUUGUAAACUAACUCCAGUACUACAGAUGCAAUAACCUUUCCUGAGUUGAAAGCAGUUUUAGCAACUGCCUAUUGUAUCUUAAGAUAAGAGACACAAUAGUAGUUUAAUUCACAUAACUAUAGAAUCAUAGACUAGGGCUGGGCACAAUCAUCUGCUCUGGCCUUCUCCCUUUACAGAUGAGGAAACUGAGGCACAGAGAGGCAGCAUGACUUUUCUGAGGUUGCUCAGCCAGUCAGUGGGAACCUGGGCCUCCUGCUUCUCAGGAUUCUUUUGCUGUAAAUUCCUGUGUGACCUCCCCAGUAACAGAGGGAAUUUAUGCUGUCUCCCCUCACCCCACCCUCACCCAUUCAGGCUCUCUCCAGGGCCUCCCAUUUCUCUUUGUAGAUCAGGAAUAAGGCCUCUAUCCAGGCCAUACUUAGGAUAAUGCAGGAUUGUGAACACCCUCACACCUCAGUCCCACUCAGCUCACACCCACCACCCUGAGGGCAGAAGGACCUCUCAGGCUUCAGCCACUUGCCUGCAUCCCAUCCCACCAACCUCAGCUGUGGCCUGCAAUUCCUACAGUUCCCACAACCCUUCUAGUCAGGCUCUGCUACAGGAUGGAGAUGUUGUGGUUUAAAAGUGGAAGCUCUCUAGUAAAUUUGGAGUUCACUCUCAGAGACUGCUGUCCCUGCAAAAAGGAGGUCAAUUCCCAAAGACGACCAAGUCCUCUUAAAGCCAUAGAGGGACUAAGCAAGUAGGUCUUAUCUUCUCAAGAGGUGAUAUGACUCAGAAGUUGCAUUUGGGAGAGGAAACAGGAAAAACAUUGACCCCUUCCUCUUACCACCCACUUCCCCUGGGGUUAGAAAGUGAAGGGGUGAACGUCUGACUGAAUUUGUCCUGCUCAUGAAACAUGUCAUUUCUCCCAGUGAAGUUAAAGUGAAGCUUAAAGUCCCAUUGAGCUCCUAUGUUCAAAGGUAGUCCAAUGAUCAAAUUCAUAUGGGGAUGCUUUCCAGUGACUCCCUGGACAGCGAAGUUUACAGGAGGUCAGGGGAAGAGCUUUCUCAUGCCAGAGGCUAAGUGGUAUCCAGGGCUUCAGUCAAAAUAUCUGACUGGCUGGAUUUUUCACAUUGCCCAUUUGGACAGUCUUGGCUGCAGCUGGGGAGGCUACAGGAAGCAAAGCCAAAGGCAGUACGAGCCUCCAAGGAAGCAGCUGUAAUUGUGGCUUCAAGGGCACCUCCUGCCUGAGGCUUCCACAGAUUGAGCAUUUGAUGGCAUGAGUAAAGGUGAAUCCCACUCACCACCAGGCCUGAAAGCCAUUCCUAUUUUAAAUGGGAAGGUGUCACUGUGUGAUUCCCAGACCAGCAGCAUCACCAUCACCUGGAACAUAGAAAUGCAAAUGUUCAGCCUGAAAGAGAACUCCUGAAUCAGAAACUCUAGAGUGAUUCCAAAGCAUCACUUGAAACGUAGUGCCUUUAUGGCCUGAAAGCACUGUAUGUAAGAAAGUUUUCCCGAAUGUUUGGCUGAAAUGUGGUGACAUUUCAAUUCUAUUCGGUAAGCACUAUUGUUAGUAUUGGGAUACACCAUGAACAACAGACACUGUCUAAACCCUCAGGAUAUAGGAGGGAAAACAAACCAGUGAGCAGACCCCCCCCCUUAAAGAGGAGACAGAUGCCCUGUGAAUACCUAUCAGUUGGUUUGAUCUGACUUCUGGGGCUCAGCCCUAGUUUCGUUUCUUUGAGUGAAACAGCUUUAUGAGAGCUCUCUUCAGAGUUUGUAUGCUCUCAACACUGUUCCUAGCCAGUGGCAUGAAUAAAACAACCUAUACUAAUUGAAAACUAGCUGUGGGCAAACCACAGUAUAAAACGCUGCUGGGCACCAUGGGAGAUGGGAAGGCUCGGUCCUUGCCUGUAAGAAACUAACAAUUGAGUAAUGAAAAUAAACAAAAACUCUUAACUCUUAA
Cebus imitator (Panamanian white-faced capuchin) is the source of this 2620-nucleotide long non-coding RNA. RefSeq lists it as uncharacterized. The transcript is spliced from 4 exons. The record is from RefSeq and is a predicted model, not a curated record. Lineage: Eukaryota; Metazoa; Chordata; Mammalia; Primates; Cebidae.